Molecule: ribosomal RNA, 496 nt
Filed under: uncultured bacterium
Lineage: Bacteria
Description: partial 16S ribosomal RNA
Rfam family: Bacterial small subunit ribosomal RNA
Source: RNAcentral
CGAACGCUGGCGGCGUGCCUAAUACAUGCAAGUCGAGCGGACGGAUGGGAGCUUGCUCCCAGACCGUCAGCGGCGGACGGGUGAGUAACACGUGGGCAACCUGCCUGUAAGACUGGGAUAACUCCGGGAAACCGGGGCUAAUACCGGAUAACUCUUUCCCUCACAUGAGGGAAAGCUGAAAGAUGGCAUCUCGCUAUCACUUACAGAUGGGCCCGCGGCGCAUUAGCUAGUUGGUGAGGUAACGGCUCACCAAGGCGACGAUGCGUAGCCGACCUGAGAGGGUGAUCGGCCACACUGGGACUGAGACACGGCCCAGACUCCUACGGGAGGCAGCAGUAGGGAAUCUUCCGCAAUGGACGAAAGUCUGACGGAGCAACGCCGCGUGAGUGAUGAAGGUUUUCGGAUCGUAAAACUCUGUUGUCAGGGAAGAACAAGUACCGGAGUAACUGCCGGUACCUUGACGGUACCUGACCAGAAAGCCACGGCUAACUACGUG